AAUUUAGGACAAUGGGCGCAAGCCUGAUCCAGCCAUGCCGCGUUAGUGAAGAAGGUCUACGGGUUGUAAAGCUCUCUCGGUCGGGAAGAAAUCGCGCUGGCUAAUACCCUGCGUGGUACACGGUACCCUCAUUAGAAGCAUCGGCUAACUACGUGCCAGCAGCCGUGGUAAUACGAAGGGUGCGAGCGUUAAUCGGAAUUACUGGGCGUAAAGCGUGAGCAGGCGGUUGAUUAAGACAGGCGUGAAAUCCCCGGGCUUAACCUGGGAACUGCGCUUGUGACUGGUCAGCUAGAGUACGGCAGAGGGGGGUGGAAUUCCACGUGUAGCAGUGAAAUGCGUAGAGAUGUGGAGGAACACCGAUGGCGAAGGCAGCCCCCUGGGCCGAUACUGACGCUCAUGCACGAAAGCGUGGGUAGCAAACAGG
RNAcentral lists this ribosomal RNA (424 nucleotides) under uncultured bacterium. Its description in RNAcentral is "partial 16S ribosomal RNA". It matches the Rfam family "Bacterial small subunit ribosomal RNA", at positions 360 to 776 of the family's 1533-position model. The record is from RNAcentral.